GACGAACGCUGGCGGCGUGCUUAACACAUGCAAGUCGAACGGAAAGGCCCUGCUUUUGUGGGGUGCUCGAGUGGCGAACGGGUGAGUAACACGUGAGUAACCUGCCCUUGACUUUGGGAUAACUUCAGGAAACUGGGGCUAAUACCGGAUAGGAGCUCCUGCUGCAUGGUGGGGGUUGGAAAGUUUCGGCGGUUGGGGAUGGACUCGCGGCUUAUCAGCUUGUUGGUGGGGUAGUGGCUUACCAAGGCUUUGACGGGUAGCCGGCCUGAGAGGGUGACCGGCCACAUUGGGACUGAGAUACUGCCGAGUCUCCUACGGGAGGCAGCAGUGGGGAAUAUUGCACAAUGGGCGGAAGCCUGAUGCAGCAACGCCGCGUGCGGGAUGACGGCCUUCGGGUUGUAAACCGCUUUCGCCUGUGACGAAGCGUGAGUGACGGUAAUGGGUAAAGAAGCACGGGCUAACUACGUG
This 468-nucleotide ribosomal RNA is filed under the name uncultured bacterium. RNAcentral describes it as "partial 16S ribosomal RNA". It matches the Rfam family "Bacterial small subunit ribosomal RNA", at positions 28 to 507 of the family's 1533-position model. The record is from RNAcentral.